GGCGGACGGGUGAGUAAUGCAUAGGAAUCUGCCCGAUAGUGGGGGAUAACCUGGGGAAACCCAGGCUAAUACCGCAUACGUCCUACGGGAGAAAGGGGGCUUCGGCUCCCGCUAUUGGAUGAGCCUAUGUCGGAUUAGCUAGUUGGUGAGGUAAUGGCUCACCAAGGCAACGAUCCGUAGCUGGUCUGAGAGGAUGAUCAGCCACAUCGGGACUGAGACACGGCCCGAACUCCUACGGGAGGCAGCAGUGGGGAAUAUUGGACAAUGGGGGCAACCCUGAUCCAGCCAUGCCGCGUGUGUGAAGAAGGCCCUCGGGUUGUAAAGCACUUUCAGCGAGGAAGAACGCCUAUCGGUUAAUACCCGGUAGGAAAGACAUCACUCGCAGAAGAAGCACCGGCUAACUCCGUGCCAGCAGCCGCGGUAAUACGGAGGGUGCAAGCGUUAAUCGGAAUUACUGGGCGUAAAGCGCGCGUAGGUGGCUUGAUAAGCCGGUUGUGAAAGCCCCGGGCUCAACCUGGGAACGGCAUCCGGAACUGUCAGGCUAGAGUGCAGGAGAGGAAGGUAGAAUUCCCGGUGUAGCGGUGAAAUGCGUAGAGAUCGGGAGGAAUACCAGUGGCGAAGGCGGCCUUCUGGACUGACACUGACACUGAGGUGCGAAAGCGUGGGUAGCAAACAGGAUUAGAUACCCUGGUAGUCCACGCCGUAAACGAUGUCGACCAGCCGUUGGGUGCCUAGAGCACUUUGUGGCGAAGUUAACGCGAU
This 762-nucleotide ribosomal RNA is filed under the name uncultured bacterium. RNAcentral describes it as "bacterial SSU rRNA". It matches the Rfam family "Bacterial small subunit ribosomal RNA", at positions 97 to 861 of the family's 1533-position model. The record is from RNAcentral.